ACAGGGGGGGCAAGCGUUGUUCGGAAUUACUGGGCGUAAAGGGUUUGUAGGUGGCUUGUUAAGUCAGACGUGAAAUCCCUCAGCUUAACUGGGGAGGGUCAUUCGAUACUGCUCGACUUGAAGGCAGGAGAGGGAAGUGGAAUUCCCGGUGUAGUGGUGAAAUGCGUAGAUAUCGGGAGGAACAUCCGUGGCGAAGGCGACUACCUGGACCAGCACUGACACUGAGGCACGAAAGCGUGGGGAGCAAACAGGA
Molecule: ribosomal RNA, 253 nt
Filed under: uncultured prokaryote
Description: partial 16S ribosomal RNA
Rfam family: Bacterial small subunit ribosomal RNA
Source: RNAcentral